RNAcentral lists this ribosomal RNA (494 nucleotides) under uncultured bacterium. RNAcentral describes it as "partial 16S ribosomal RNA". It matches the Rfam family "Bacterial small subunit ribosomal RNA", at positions 28 to 507 of the family's 1533-position model. The record is from RNAcentral.
GAUGAACGCUGGCGGCGUGCUUAACACAUGCAAGUCGAACGGUGAAGCGCCUUCCUUUUUGGUGGGUGUGGAUGAGUGGCUAACGGGUGAGUAACACGUUAGUCACCUGCCCCCUUCUUCUGGAUAACCGCAUGAAAGUGUGGCUAAUACGGGAUAUUCUGGGUCUGUCGCAUGAUGGGUCUGGGAAGGAUUUUGUUUCGCUGUGGGAUGGUCUCGCGGCCUAUCAGCUUGUUGGUGGAGUGAUGGCCUACCAAGGCGAUGAAGGGUAGCCGGCCUGAGAGGGUGGACGGUAACACGGGGGAGAAGACGCGGAGAAGACUACGAGAGGAGGCAGCAGGGAGGAAUAUUGAAUAAGGGGAGGAAGGAUGAAGCAGCGACGCGGCGGGGGGGAAGGAGGCCGGCGGGUUGAGAACUGCUUUCGCGAGUGAAGAAGGCUGGCCGCGUUUGUGGGUGGGUUGACGGUAGCUGGAGAAGAAGCGCCGGCUAACUACGUG